UACGUAGGGUGCGAGCGUUGUCCUGAAUUACUGGGCGUAAAGAGCUCGUAGGUGGUUUGUCGCGUUGUUCGUGAAAACUCACAGCUCAACUGUGGGCGUGCGGGCGAUACGGGCAGACUGGAGUACUGCAGGGGAGACUGGAAUUCCUGGUGUAGCGGUGGAAUGCGCAGAUAUCAGGAGGAACGCCGGUGGCGAAUGCGGGUCUCUGGGCAGUGACUGACGCUGAGGAGCGAAAGCGUGGGGAGCGAACAGG
This 253-nucleotide ribosomal RNA is filed under the name uncultured bacterium. RNAcentral describes it as "partial 16S ribosomal RNA". It matches the Rfam family "Bacterial small subunit ribosomal RNA", at positions 524 to 776 of the family's 1533-position model. The record is from RNAcentral.